Molecule: non-coding RNA, 74 nt
Organism: Polypterus senegalus (gray bichir)
Lineage: Eukaryota; Metazoa; Chordata; Cladistia; Polypteriformes; Polypteridae
Source: the annotation of a RefSeq genome assembly
CCUUCUGAUAGCUCAGCUGGUAGAGCGGAGGACUGUAGAUCCUUAGGUCGCUGGUUCAAUUCCGGCUCGAAGGA